RNAcentral lists this ribosomal RNA (472 nucleotides) under uncultured bacterium. RNAcentral's name for it is "bacterial SSU rRNA". It matches the Rfam family "Bacterial small subunit ribosomal RNA", at positions 355 to 825 of the family's 1533-position model. The record is from RNAcentral.
UGGGGAAUAUUGGACAAUGGGGGCAACCCUGAUCCAGCCAUGCCGCGUGUGUGAAGAAGGCCCUCGGGUUGUAAAGCACUUUCAGCGAGGAAGAACGCCUAGCGGUUAAUACCCAUUAGGAAAGACAUCACUCGCAGAAGAAGCACCGGCUAAUUCCGUGCCAGCAGCCGCGGUAAUACGGAGGGUGCAAGCGUUAAUCGGAAUUACUGGGCGUAAAGCGCGCGUAGGUGGCUUGAUAAGCCGGUUGUGAAAGCCCCGGGCUCAACCUGGGAACGGCAUCCGGAACUGUCAAGCUAGAGUGCAGGAGAGGAAGGUAGAAUUCCCGGUGUAGCGGUGAAAUGCGUAGAGAUCGGGAGGAAUACCAGUGGCGAAGGCGGCCUUCUGGACUGACACUGACACUGAGGUGCGAAAGCGUGGGUAGCAAACAGGAUUAGAUACCCCCGUAGUCCCUGAGCGGGCUGGCAAGGCGCAU